AUGGGCCGCCCCAGGCCGCUCACCUCGGGCGGCAUCGACCCCAUCGCCGAGGAGUCGUCGCCGUCGCGGUCGCCGCCGCACCACCCCGCGCCCUGCGCCGACCCGGCGGCCCUGGCCUGCGCGAUCUCCGCGCAGGCCAGCGCGGUGCUGGCCGUGAUGCGCCGGGGCCUCCGCCACCCGCGCGCGGACGACGCGGCGGCCGACCACCCGCUCGUGGCCUCCCUCAAGGCCCUGCGUCGGCUCGCCUUCGCCGCCGCCUCCCCCCAACACUCCCCCUCGCUCCCGGCCGCCGCGCUGCGGCCCUUCCUCGACGCGGUGCGCUCCGAGGACGCCGGCGCCGACGCCACCUCGGCCGCCCUCGCCGCGCUGCACGAGGUCAUGGCGCUCACGGCCCCCGCCCUCCCGGGCUCCGCGCUGCGGGAGGUCGUCGACGCCGUCGCCUGCUGCCGCUUCGAGGCCGGCGCCGACCCCGCCGCCGAGGAGGACGUGCUCGUGCGCAUGCUGCAGGCGCUGCUCGCCUGCCUCCGCGCCCCCGCCGCCCCCGCGCUCGGCGACCAGCACGUCCUCACCGCCGUCAACACCUGCUUCCGCGUCGUCCACCAGGCCGCCGCCAAGGGCGACCUCCUGCAGCGCUUCUCCCGCCACGUGAUGCACGAGCUCGUCCGCCUCGUCUUCGCCCGCCUCCCGCAGAUAGGCGCCGGCGGCGACGCCGACGACGCUGCCGUCAAACCAGAGAUGGGUGGCAUGGAUAAGAAUCAUCCAUUUGGUAUUGGGCAAAUGGAAAAUGGAAACGGAAGCUAUGUGUCCGAGGCAGGUACACCUGAUGAGAAUUCUCCGGAUGGUAGUGUCCUUGUUGUGGAGCCAUAUGGAACUCCUUGCAUGGAGGAGAUUUUCCAUUUCCUAUGCUCUCUCCUCAGUGGUGUCGAGCUGAACGGGUAUGAUGAAGGUCAACCUUUGUUUGCUCUGAAGUUGAUCAAUUCAGCGAUAGAGCUUGGUGGGUCUGCAAUUGGGAGGCAUCCAAAGGUGCUGUCGCUGGUCCAAGAUGAGCUUUUCCGAAACCUAAUGCAGCUUGGCUUAUCGAUAAGCCCGCUUACUCUUUCGGUGGUGUGCAGCAUCGUGUUGAAUCUUUACCAUCACCUCCGUAAUGAGCUCAAGAUGCAGCUUGAGGCCUUUUUUUGUUGCAUAAUUCUAAGGCUCGCACAGCCCCGAUUUGGAGCAACAUAUCAUCAGCAGGAGGUUGCAAUGGAAGCUCUUGUGGACUUCUGUCGACAGAAGAAUUUUAUGGUGGAGAUGUAUGCCAAUCUUGACUGUGACAUAACAUGCAGGAAUGUGUUUGAGGAGCUUGCAAAUCUUUUAUCAAAGAGUGCAUUUCCUAUUAACUGCCCCUUGUCUUCUAUGCACAUUCUUGCUCUGGAAGGCUUGAUUGCUGUGAUUCAGGGAAUGGCUGAUCGGAUUGGGAAUGCAACCUCUGGCCCUGAACUAAGGUCUGUGGAACUUGAUGAAUAUGCUCCAUUCUGGACUGUUAAGUGCGAGAAUUUUUUGGAUCCUCAGCAUUGGGUGAAAUUUGUCCGCCAAAGGAAGUAUGUCAAGAGGAGGCUAAUGAUUGGCGCUGAUCACUUCAACAGGGACCCGAAGAAAGGUCUGGAGUUCCUUCAAGGCAAUCAUCUGUUGCCCGAGAAGCUUGAUCCGCAGAGUGUGGCUUGUUUUUUCCGCUACACAGCUGGUCUGGAUAAGAAUCUCGUAGGAGACUUUCUCGGCAAUCAUGACGAGUUUUGUGUUCAGGUGCUUCAUGAGUUUGCUCAGACCUUUGACUUCGAGGAGAUGAACUUGGAUACAGCUCUGAGGUUAUUUUUGGAGACAUUCCGACUACCUGGAGAAUCUCAGAAGAUACAGAGGGUUCUUGAGGCCUUUUCAGAUAGAUACUAUGAGCAGGCUCCGCAAGCUUUUGCAAAUAAGGACACUGCUUUGCUGCUGUCUUACUCAAUUAUAAUGCUGAACACUGAUCAGCAUAACAUGCAGGUGAAGAAGAAGAUGACCGAGGAGGACUUCAUAAAAAACAACAGGAGCAUAAAUGGGGGUAGUGACCUCCCACGUGAGAUGUUGUCUGAGCUAUACCACGCUAUCUGCCGAAAUGAGAUUAAGACCACGCCCGAGCAGGGCAUGGGAUAUUUGGAAAUGUCUCCCAGCCGUUGGAUAGACCUAAUGCGGAAGUCCAAGUCAACACCCCAGUAUAUUGUUGGUGAUUCUCAACCUUUCCUCGACCACGAUAUGUUUGCUAUCAUGUCUGGCCCUACUAUUGCUGCCAUUGCAGUGGUAUUUGAUCAUUCGGAACAUGAAGAAGUUCUGUUGACCUGUGUGGAUGGCUUCUUGGGCAUCGCAAAGAUCUCAGCAUUUCAUCAUCUUGAAGACGUUUUGGACGACCUUGUUGUUUCUCUCUGCAAAUUCACCACUCUUUUGAAUACCUCUUUGGUCGAGGAACCAGUCACUGCCUUUGGAGAUGAUCUGAAGGCUAGAUUGGCAACUGAGACACUGUUUACCAUAGCUAAUAAAUACGGGCAUUACAUACGUACUGGUUGGAGGAAUGUACUGGAUUGCAUCCUGAGACUGCAUAAGCUAGGGCUUCUUCCUGCCCGUGUUGCUAGUGAUGCAGCUGAUGAUUCAGAAGUUUCUGCUGAAACUGUCCAAGGAAAGCCUGUUCCUAGCUCAAUCUCCACAUCUCACGUUCCAGUGAUGGGUACCCCUCGGAAAUCCUCUGGGCUCAUGGGAAGAUUUAGUCAGCUACUCUCGCUUGACAGCGAGGAACCAAGAUCACAACCAACUGAGCAGCAACUUGCUGCCCACCAGAGGACUCUUCAGACAAUCCAGAAGUGCCGCAUUGAUGGCAUAUUUACAGAGAGCAAAGUUUUGCAACCUGAUUCACUAUUGCAGCUUGCCAGGGCACUGAUAUGGGCUGCAGGGCGGCCUCAAAAGGUUGCCAGCUCGCCAGACGACGAAGACACAGCAGUAUUCUGCUUGGAACUCCUCAUUGCCAUCACGCUUAACAAUCGAGAUCGAAUUGUGCUCCUCUGGCAAGGCGUAUAUGAGCAUAUUGCCAACAUAGUUCAGUCCACAGUCAUGCCAUGCGCCCUUGUGGAGAAAGCUAUUUUUGGCCUUCUGCGGAUAUGCCAGAGGUUACUUCCAUACAAAGAGAACCUUGCUGAUGAGCUGCUGAGGUCAUUGCAAUUAGUUCUGAAGCUGGAUGCACGUGUAGCGGAUGCAUACUGUGAGAACAUCACACAAGAGGUUGCACGGCUUGUCAAAGCAAACGCGGGACACAUAAAAUCGCAGAUGGGUUGGAGAACUGUGGUGUUGCUGCUCUCCAUUACAGCUCGCCACCCAGAUGCUUCAGGGGUAGGCUUCGAGGCUAUAAUGUUUAUCAUGUCAGAGGGUCACCUUUCAAGAUCAAAUUAUGCCUUCUGCAUCGAAGCGUCGAGGCAGUUUGCCGAGUCCAGGGUUGGUCUAACAGACAGGUCUAUUCGCGCCCUGGAUUUGAUGGCUGAUUCGGUCACUAAUCUCGCCCGGUGGUCGCAAGAUACAAAAGAGGCAGGCGAAGAAGCUGAUAGAGGGGUGGAAGCAAUCAGGGAAAUGUGGCUCAAACUGCUGCAAGCGCUGAAAAAGCUGAGCCUGGACCAGCGAGAGGAGGUGCGAAACCACGCAUUGGUUUCGCUCCAGCGAUGCCUAACGGCGACCGAAGGGAUAGGCCUCCAGUCCGCCACAUGGUCGCACGCUUUCGACCACAUCAUAUUCGCUUUGCUGGACGACCUGCUGGAGAUCGCCCAGAACCACUCGCAGAAGGACCACAGGAACAUGGAAGGAUCCCUCGUGCUCGCCGUGAGACUGGUAGCGAAGGUGUACCUUGAGCUGUUACCGGACCUCUUCGGGCUGAGCAGCUUCUGCAAGCUGUGGCUGGGGGUCCUCAGCCGGAUGGAGAAGUGCAUCAAGGCCAAGGUCCGGGGCAAGCGCAGCGACAAGCUUCAGGAGCUGAUCCCGGACCUCCUCAGGAACGUCCUGGCCGCGAUGAAGGGCAGGGGGAUCCUCGCCAAGAGGAGCACGAUAGGGGGCGACAGCCUGUGGGAGCUGACGUGGCUCCAUGUGAACAACAUCUCGACGGGCCUGCAGUCGGAGGUGUUCCCGAGCCAGGAGUACGAGCCGCCGAGCAAUGCCGGUAGCCCGAGAGGGGGGCUGAACGAUGCCGAGAUCAAGAACUAG
This 4248-nucleotide ribosomal RNA is filed under the name Triticum aestivum (bread wheat). RNAcentral describes it as "partial small subunit ribosomal RNA". The record is from RNAcentral. Lineage: Eukaryota; Viridiplantae; Streptophyta; Magnoliopsida; Poales; Poaceae.